Molecule: long non-coding RNA, 395 nt
Organism: Pezoporus flaviventris
Lineage: Eukaryota; Metazoa; Chordata; Aves; Psittaciformes; Psittacidae
Exons: 3
Source: RefSeq, a predicted model, not a curated record
AGACACGUCCAGAGCUGGACUCCUCAUCAGAACAGCUGUGUGGCAGCACUGCACGAGAAAGGAAAAUACACUCAUGACAGGGUUGGACCGAUUCCUCAUCUUACACACUCUGAUGGCAAGAAAGAACCAGCUUAGUCUGAAAACUGAAACUGAAGCAACCCGAGAGUCCUGGUGUGCUCUUCGAUCUACUGUUCUCUCCCCACCAUCUGUUAUACUGAGAAAUGGAUCUCGUCCAAAAGGAUCAGAAAAGCUUCUCAUCAUCUGCCGCAUAUAUUCAUGGUGGGCAGCAAAAGGAUCUCUGAAAAAGAGAUAUUUUGCACAGAAAGUCAUCAGGUUUUAUUGCAAGCUACAGAAAAUUGCUCCAAAAUUGUUAAAAUGCAAUUUUAUUAAUCAUA